This 459-nucleotide ribosomal RNA is filed under the name uncultured bacterium. Its description in RNAcentral is "partial 16S ribosomal RNA". It matches the Rfam family "Bacterial small subunit ribosomal RNA", at positions 338 to 795 of the family's 1533-position model. The record is from RNAcentral.
CCUACGGGAGGCAGCAGUGAGGAAUAUUGGUCAAUGGCCGGAAGGCUGAACCAGCCAAGCCGCGUGAAGGACGCAGGUGCCAAGCAUUGUAAACUUCUUUUGUCAAGGGACAAAAUCCGGCUCGAGAGCCUGACCGAGUGUACUUGAAGAAAAAGCAUCGGCUAACUCCGUGCCAGCAGCCGCGGUAAUCCGGAGGAUGCGAGCGUUAUCCGGAUUUAUUGGGUUUAAAGGGUGCGUAGGCGGGUGGUUAAGUCAGCGGUAAAAGCCCGGGGCGCAACCCCGGCGAGCCGUUUAAACUGGCUGUAUUGAGAUGUCGAGAGGUAUGCGGAAUGCGCGGUGUAGCGGUGAAAUGCUUAGAUAUCGCGAAGAACUCCGAUUGCGAAGGCAGCAUACCGGCGGCGAUCUGACGCUGAGGCACGAAAGCGUGGGUAUCGAACAGGAUUAGAUACCCUAGUAGUC